This 253-nucleotide unclassified non-coding RNA is filed under the name uncultured Myxococcales bacterium. Its description in RNAcentral is "contains 16S-23S intergenic spacer region". It matches the Rfam family "Bacterial small subunit ribosomal RNA", at positions 524 to 776 of the family's 1533-position model. Lineage: Bacteria; Pseudomonadati; Myxococcota; Myxococcia; Myxococcales. The record is from RNAcentral.
UACAGAGGGUGCAAACGUUGUUCGGAAUUACUGGGCGUAAAGCGCGUGUAGGCGGCUUUGCAAGUCGGACGUGAAAGCCCACGGCUCAACCGUGGAAGUGCAUUCGAAACUGCAGAGCUGGAGUCCUGGAGAGGAAGGUGGAAUACUCGGUGUAGAGGUGAAAUUCGUAGAUAUCGAGUGGAACACCGGUGGCGAAGGCGGCCUUCUGGACAGGUACUGACGCUGAGACGCGAAAGCGUGGGGAGCAAACAGG